Molecule: ribosomal RNA, 253 nt
Filed under: uncultured bacterium
Lineage: Bacteria
Description: partial 16S ribosomal RNA
Rfam family: Bacterial small subunit ribosomal RNA
Source: RNAcentral
UACGUAUGUCCCAAGCGUUACCCGGAAUCACUGGGUGUAAAGGGUUCGUAGGUGGUUUGAAAAGUUGGAUAUGAAAGACCGGAGCUCAACUCCGAGUUUGUCUUCAAAACUCUCAGACUAGAAUUAGGGAGAGGUAAGCGGAAUUCUAAGUGUAGGGGUGCAAUCCGUAGAUACUUAGAGGAACACCAAAAGCGAAGGCAGCUUACUGGAACUAUAUUGACGCUAAAGAACGAAAGCGUGGGUAGCGAAAAGG